Molecule: small RNA, 147 nt
Filed under: Pongo abelii (Sumatran orangutan)
Lineage: Eukaryota; Metazoa; Chordata; Mammalia; Primates; Hominidae
Description: processed transcript
Source: RNAcentral
AUUUGCCUUCAGAUGUCUUUGGGGCCUGAACUUUACAUGGUGAAACGAAUUUCUGAAGAUCCUCCUUGCAAAUGCCCAAACAAGUUCUGUGUGGAGCGGCUCUCCCAAGGAAGAUACCGAGUGGGAGAAAAGAUCCUCUUCAUUAGG